AGUUUGAAAAAUCGCGUAAGCACAACAUCAUAAAAGAUCCAUCGAUUAUCUCGUCUGGAAGAAGCGCUACUUUUGGCAGCGGUAGCUGAUGAUGAGCAGCAGCAAGCAAGAUCACCAAGCUCAUAACUUACAGAGGCUUCUGUGAACGUGACAUGCCUUUCCUGGUCCACAGUACAAUGUUCAGUCGGUUCAGUCGACCCGCCUCUAAGUGAUCCGUGGCCUACGGUAUGCAACAAUGCUGUGCAAUUUUCUUCAUUAUUGACAG
Molecule: long non-coding RNA, 265 nt
Organism: Cryptotermes secundus
Lineage: Eukaryota; Metazoa; Arthropoda; Insecta; Blattodea; Kalotermitidae
Exons: 2
Source: RefSeq, a predicted model, not a curated record